Molecule: long non-coding RNA, 446 nt
Filed under: Mytilus galloprovincialis (Mediterranean mussel)
Lineage: Eukaryota; Metazoa; Mollusca; Bivalvia; Mytilida; Mytilidae
Source: RNAcentral
GUUUUGUCAAGCUAUUUAUCAUACACUUAAAUUUCCGGAUAAAUAAAAAAAUAAGUCUUAGAUGCAGAAUUGUUUUAUUAAUCGUGGCCACUGUAGACAACUACGACAUCUAUCUGUCGAUAAGGUUUGUUAUUUUCUUUCCAAUGAUUUAUGAUACAGCAUUGCAAAAAUUGUGAUAUUCUGUAAACUGAAAUCGUAUUAGUAGGGUGUCCAGUAAAUCAUAUUCGUUUUAUUGUACCUUCUUAGUUUACUGGUACCUACGUUUGUACUAAUACAUUCGUUCCCAAAAUGUAUCAAUAUGACUUGAGAAUUAUUGAAAACAAUUGAAAAAAAAGAUUUCGAGGAAAUAACAAGCCUAAUUGAGAAAUUGAUGUCGUAGAUGAUUACAGCGGUCUCGAUUUUACUAAAUGCUAUCUGAAAUUUCCUGAAAUAAAAACCAACAAUCG